GAUGAACGCUGGCGGCGUGCCUAAUACAUGCCAGUCGAGCGAACAGACGAGGAGCUUGCUCCUCUGACGUUAGCGGCGGACGGGUGAGUAACACGUGGAUAACCUACCUAUAAGACUGGGAUAACUUCGGGAAACCGGAGCUAAUACCGGAUAAUAUAUUGAACCGCAUGGUUCAAUAGUGAAAGACGGUUUUGCUGUCACUUAUAGAUGGAUCCGCGCCGCAUUAGCUAGUUGGUAAGGUAACGGCUUACCAAGGCGACGAUGCGUAGCCGACCUGAGAGUGUGAACGGCCACCCUGGAACUGAGACACGGUCCAGACUCCUACGGGAGGCAGCAGGAGUGAAUCUUCCGCAAUGGGCGAAAGCUUGACGGAGCAACGCCGCGUGAGUGAUGAAGGUCUUCGGAUCGUAAAACUCUGUUAUUAGGGAAGAACAAAUGUGUAAGUACCUAUGCACGUCUUGACGGUACCUAAUCAGAAAGCCACGGCUAACUACGUG
This 497-nucleotide ribosomal RNA is filed under the name uncultured bacterium. RNAcentral's name for it is "partial 16S ribosomal RNA". It matches the Rfam family "Bacterial small subunit ribosomal RNA", at positions 28 to 507 of the family's 1533-position model. The record is from RNAcentral.